This is a small nuclear RNA of Pseudophryne corroboree (corroboree frog), 115 nucleotides long. RefSeq annotates it as U5 spliceosomal RNA. The transcript has a single exon. The record is from RefSeq and is a predicted model, not a curated record. NCBI's taxonomy places the organism in Eukaryota, Metazoa, Chordata, Amphibia, Anura, Myobatrachidae.
AUGCUCUGGUUUCUCUUCAGAACGAACAAAUCUUUCGCCUCUUACUAAAGAUUUCCGUGGAGAGGAGCAAAACCGAGUUGAUGAGAGUUCCCUUGUGCUGCCUCAGUUGAAUCUC